UUUAUUCAUAGAAAAUACCUUUUAGGUUGCUGCACGUUUACUGCAGCAUAUCAGCAAGAAUCAGCUUUCCUGGUUGAACUAGGAAAGCUUCAUUUCUUUAUUUCUGAGUUGAAUUGUAUGCCAUAUACUUACACAAAACACAACCUAUGAAGUAGCAAUUGAGAGAUUGGUCUUGCACAUCUGAAGAAUAAGUUUGAAAAAGUAGAAGAACCAACAUGAACUCAUGGAACACAGGUAAAAUCAUGCAUAUGCAUUUCAUGGUUUUUCAUCGAGGAUAGCAGUAUUGUCUGCUAUCCUAAAAAUCUGGGUUUCCAGCUUUUCAGUCUUUUGUUUCUUUUGUCUUAGGUGUAUGUUUCUUUACCCUUGUUCCAUAAGAACUAUGUCUGGGUGAGAUCCUCAUUUGAAUUUCAAAUUGACAACUAAGAUAAAAGUCAUGCCUUGGUGCUCAAAUUAGUCUAGGGUUUGAUGCCUUUAUCUCAACCCGUGACCCAUGUUUUAGCUCUUAGGCUCCAGCUGUGGUUUGCUGUGUUUGUGAUACACAAACCAAUAUUUGCAGCUGUCUUUGUUUGAUAUCAAAUAAUAGUGGUUUGCUAAACCAUUGUGGUAUUAUGCUUUUGGGAAAAAGUUUGCAAAACCUUUGUCUCUUGCUUUUAAAUCAAACAUUGUUUAUGAUUAUUUUGUUUCUUUCUUUCUUGGCCUAGGACAACUGCAUAUGACCUCUCACAUUCAAAGUUUGGCCAAGGAUCCUUCCUUGCUUUGGCCCUCGUGCCUGCCCUCUUUUGGCACCUCUUUGGCUUGUGUCUCUCUCUUGUUAGAGCACUCCAUCAGCCUAUAUAUAUUGAGCAAGGCUGCCUUUGCUCUGUGGUUGUCAAAAUGUAGUUUUUACAUUUGCAUUGUUGGGUUUUGGUUUUCUUUUGCAUUGUUCAUUAGUCUCUAAGUCUUCCUUUUGUGAUUAUAAACCUUAGAGCUAAACAAAACCUUUUUCUCAUAAACUCAUUGCAUUCUGCAUACCAUGAGAUCAGUUGGUAAUGCAGCAACCCAGGAAGUGUUCAUGAAAGAAGCAGCUGAGGAUAGCUAAGUUCUGAUGUAUCCCACUGAGGUAGCUGGGUUCAUGAAAGAAUCAGUUUAGGAUAACUGAGUUUCUGAGAGUGAAACUUCUGAGAAGUGUUCAAGAAGAAUCAGUUAAGUGAUAGCUGAGUUCUGAGUUGAAACUUCUUAUACCUUCAUGUGUAGCCACUUAGAGACAAGAGAGGUAGUUCUAGAAUAGUUUGGGACUAGGUAGCAUAGCAAGUCGUUGUUGUAUCCUAUACUGUAAUCUUGUAAGGAGUGAGGUACUCAGAAACAAGAGAGAAAGUAUAGAUCUAGACUAGUGGGUAGUUUAGGCAGGAUAGCAAGCCAGUUAUGUAUCCCUAGACUAUAAUCUUGUAAGAAGUGAGUUUUACAUAGUGGAAAGGUUUAUCCCUCAAGAGUUAGGGGCACGCAGUUUUUCUCCCUGAUUGCAGGGUUUCUGCGAGUAAAAAACAUCUUGGUGUUCAUUGUUAUUUUACUGCAACUUUUAUUUAUUGUCAUUGUGUAUUUGUUAUUCAGAAUAGCUAUAACUCUUGCUAUCCCUGAGAACGAAUUUAUACGGAAAAAAGUUGUUAAGGGCCUAUUCACACCCCCACCCCCACCCCGGGACCUUUAGUCUGGCCUUGUUUCGUUAGUUCUGACAGCUUUUGGCUCGUUGGCCAUGGUUGUAUUGAUCAAUUCAUUCAUCGGAUUACCAACAUAUAAAGCAGAUGAGGGUGUGACAAGUUAGUUAUAGGCUUGCAGCGAUUAAAAUUCACUCAUCCAACGACAACAGAAGGAACAAACUAGGAUGAAUAUAUCCACACAAAAGUUGGUUCCCCUUGGGUCUAUUAACUGUUAAUCCACCUGAAAACUGAGCAAAGUAAUUGAAAUUCGUUCUUUCUCUUGGCUAAAUACAAGCAGAAGUAUCUAAUUAUCAAUACAUAGUACAAGCAGAACUAUCUGAUUAUUAAAGUAUUAUAAUCCCAGGGGCCGGCGAACAGUUCAAACCAGAUACUUGCCUACAACUUGGUCUUUGUAAGAAUAGAAAGUUUUUCAGCUUAGUUAGAAUGGAGACAUAGACGAACAAGAAGAAAGAUGUGGUCCGCCCCAAAUACCAACAGAGAAAACUGUCAGACAAAGAGCAUAAGUAAUGCCUUAAUGAUUGGUAUGUGUCCUAUGUAGACGUUAAUCACAAAGAGGUCUCACUGGACGAUUGUUUUUUCAGUACAAAGCAGUUGUAAUCAUCAUUGAUGGGUUUUAAAUACUGCAAGUAUGUUUUGUCAUUAGUAUAUGAUUAGCAAGUCCAGAGUCCAGGGACUGAAAAAAUAAUCUGUUCAUCUGGUAGCUUCUGGUUCAGUGACUUUGCAAUGGCGCUGUUUAUCUUAAUCACCGUGGCACUACUGCUAUCCGUUUUUGCGUUCUCAGCUUUCUUUGUGCUGCGAUCAUGGACUUCAUCACCGAAAAGCAUGGUGGGAAUCCCAGGCAGCUUGGGAUGGCCUAUUGUUGGAGAAAGCUUCUCAUUUAUAUCAGAGUUCUCAAGUCCAUCUGGUAUAUACAGCUUCAUGCACAAGAGGCAGCAGAGGUAAACAAUUAAAUGACAUCAUUUCGUUCAUUACAAGAAACAUACUUUGAUAUAUCUAUGCAUUUCAUGUUAUAUUUUCAGGUAUGGUAAAGUGUUCAAGACUUUUGUCUUGGGUAGAUUCAGUGUGUUCAUGACCGGGAGAGAAGCAAGUAAGAUGUUGUUAGCAGGAAGAGACGGAAUGGUAAGCUUAAACCUGUUCUACACAGGACAGCAGGUGCUAGGUCCAACCAGCUUGCUACAAACUACCGGAGAAGAGCACAAACGGCUUAGACGGCUGAUUGCUGAGCCUCUAUCGGUUGAUGGCCUAAAAAAAUAUUUUCAGUUUAUUAAUAACCUGGCAAUUGAAAUAUUAGAAGAUUGGCCUGGCCGAACUGUUUUUGUCCUUGAAGAAGCUUCUACAGUUAAGUAUUGGUUACCAAGUCAUGUAGCAAAUUUCCUAGUCUAAAGUUUAACUUGUGGGGAAUGAAAGUUAAUUAGUCUGUUAAUUGUGUGUGCAGUUCACUCUCAAAGUUAUUGGUAACAUGAUCAUGAGCUUGGAGCCUGCAGGUGAAGAACAAGAGAAAUUCCGAGCCAAUUUUAAACUCAUUUCUUCCUCCUUUGCAUCCUUGCCAUUCAAAAUCCCUGGAACAGCUUUUCAUUCUGGUAUUCAGGUAUCACAUGCAUCUUUAUAAACCAUCGAUGUUGAUCAGUGACGAACAAAUUGCUGACAUAUUGAUUGUUCCACUUUGUCAGGCACGAGAUAGGAUGUAUGCAAUGUUAGACUCGGCAAUUUCUAAAAGGAGAAAUGGAGAAGGAUUCCAACAAGACUUCUUGGAAUCACUGAUAAUGAAACAUAGCAAACUAGCAGGCAGUGAAGAUAAUAAGGAUAAAUUGACUGACAAACAAUUGAAGGACAAUGUAUUAACUCUACUGGUUGCAGGUCAUGAUACCACAACUGCUGCUCUCACAUGGCUCAUCAAGUUCCUUGGAGAAAAUCCUGUUGUCCUGGAACAACUAAGAGUAAGUCAUCUAUAUGUAGCUUGGUUAUAACUGAUUAUAUUUGGUUUCCAAAAGACUGAAGCCUUAGAAUUGUGGACUUGCAGGAUGAGCACAGACAAAUUCAAGCAAACCGCGAUGGAGUCAAUCUAACUUGGUCCGAAGUUAACAACAUGCCUUACACCGCCAAGGUAAACAGUGUAUCAAUACUCAGAAGUCAGAACCUUAAUGUAAUAAUAUUGUCAAUUAUAAACUCAAGCAUUGUUCAUUGUUGUUGACACUCAGGUAAUCAGCGAAACUCUUCGAAGAGCCACUAUUUUACCUUGGUUUUCAAGAAAGGCUGCCCAGAAUUUUGAGAUUGAUGGUACAAUUUUUUGUCUCCACACACCACAUAACGAAAAGCCUUUGUUUUAAGCUAAUGUUUACUACACCAAGUUUGAUCAUCUGGUUUCUAAGAGAUUUUCCAUUACUGACAGGAUAUAAAAUAGAGAAAGGUUGGUCUAUUAAUUUGGAUGUUGUCUCUAUUCAUCAUGAUCCAGAAGUUUUUCCCGAUCCUGAAAAGUUUGAUCCCUCCAGGUUUGAUGUAAGCGCGCACUGCCCCUACCAAACCUUUUAGCUGUGGCAUUGCUCUCUGAUACAUUGGGAACUAAUUAUGGAAUAAAAAUACAGGAAUCUCUGAAGCCUUUUACCUUUCUUGGAUUUGGUAGCGGACAGCGUAUGUGCCCUGGAAUCAAUUUGGCCAAACUUGAAAUCUCAGUUUUCAUUCAUCACCUGGUCUGCAAAUACAAGUAAGAUGAAGAGGAACUGUGAGAAAUAUGGUCUAAAAUAGAAUGUAACAGAGAAUGUUUUUAAGAAACCGAAGUUUGGAAGUAGUUGAUCAAAUGAUCUGAUUUAUUACAUGAUAACUUUAACUAAAUGAGCAUGUCAACUCUUCAUGUAACAAGGAUUUCGUGUUGCAACCUCAAUUCUGAUUCUGGAUUUCUAUGAACUGUUUCAGGUGGAAGCCUCUGGAAAAAGAUGACUCAGUCCAGCCAACACUAGUAAGAAUGCCAAAGAACAAGUAUCCGAUUGUAGCCGAGCCACUUUAGUACAAUUUUCACGAUGCACUUGGCACGACUCGCUGUUUUCUUCCUCCCCCCUGUGAAUAUAUAGUUAACAGCAAAUAGUUCCUUUAUAAGGAGAAUAAUGUGAUCACCAAUAAUGUUGAAGGUUGCAGUGGCACCUUUAACAAAUCAAUUGUGAUUCUGAAUAAUGUUGACUGUUGCAGUCAUUGAUAAUUGCAUUUCAGACAUUCCACACACUUCUUUUCAAUAAGUCCAACCGAUUAAGGAUCACCGUCUAGCUUAUGUUGAAACAAUUGAUAUCAAAGUCCAGCCAUAUCAAACAUAAUAUUGUGUUUGUAUUUGUUUAGCACAUCAGUUAUCUGAGAUAUGUUUCUCAUUGUCAUAAAUAUAAGUUAAACAGUUUUUUCUACAAUCAGUGUUAAUUACCUGAUGUUAAUGUGUUUAAAAACUUGAAUAUGAUCAGUUUUCAAACAUAUCUGAGUAGAAUUGAUCCAUCUGAAAUCCAAAGAAUAGCUCUUCAUCCAUGCUUCUAUGCAACUUCUAUAAUUGUAAGAGAAUAAGUUCGUGUUAUUUAGUUUUUUUUUGUCAGGUAAAUUACAACCUUAAGUCGAACUCACAACCUCUCAUUUAUUAAAAAGAAGACUAUGUCACUAGACCAAAUAGUACUGGGUUUGACGUUAUUUAGGUUAUGAGGAACUUUGACAUCAUGAUCUUGAAUAUGACAUUUAUGCUAGUAAAAGUACAAAUUUAAGAAAGAAAAUCAAAGCAACUCCUUACCGCAGCAACUCCUUAAAACUUAAGAAAGAAAAUCAAAGCAACUCCUUCACAAAUUUAACACUCUUACUGCAGCAACUCCUACAUAAAAAAAAAAAAAAAAAAAAAACAAGAAAUGAUAUAAAAACGUUCGUGUCUCUGAAGUAAUAUACAGUGGAAUAUUCCCCAGUCUAGGCCUUGGUCUUUUUCCAUAUAUUCAAGGGAUUCGUCUUGUGAGUACUCUAAUCCUUUCUCGAAGAACUAGGGUUUAACUGUUUAAGAGUAGCCAUAUCAGUCCCAUUCUUACGGCUUUCCAUAUACUCUUGAAGCAGCCAAACACAUGAGAAAGAUGGCAGGUAAUACGGUUAAUUUGAUAGGACUAUCAGCAUGGUGAAAGAAGUAGAUAUACUGAACUGCGGAGAUAACACAUUGACAGAUGCUGCUAUAGCUAAUCCGUAAGUGUCCGGGCGACUAUUAAAGAAAAUGUUAGAAGGAUAUGGAUACGAUAUGCACUGCAGUUCUCCCAGCUCUUCAGUGUACUAGGCUUUCCUUGUGAAUGAGAUCCCAAAUGCAAGUGAAUACAGCUGCAAUAGCAAGCAGCAUUCCGAUCAAUUCAUUAGGAAAUUGCACAGAAGCUGCUAUAUUAUGCGGCAUAUAUUAUGCUACAUAUCAAAACCAAACAUUUAUGGGGAAAUCAAAAUAUGUAUAAUCAAAAAUUAAUUAUAAUAUUUGGCUGAAAACGUUCUUCAUCAGCUCGACUACUAAUGCUCCCAACACUACUUGUCCAAAACAUAUGACAACUAUAACAAAUAUCAUACAGGAUGCUCCCAACACUACUUGUCCAAAACAUAUGACAACUAUAACAAAUAUCAUACAGGCAAUACAGGUAGUUCACUUCGGCAUGACUGCUUUGUAUGCAAUGCAACAGCAAAAUACCAUGCAUAACACAGCAUCAUGCAGGCAACUUACUUGGGGAGGAACCAAAUCUAAAAAAAAAGAUGACACAUUGGUUAAAAUGAUUCAUUCUGCAACCUACAGAAAUAUACACAGCUAAAUAUCCAACAAUCGCGGAUGUUGGUCAACUAAGAUAUGUUUCUUUCAGUCAUAUAAAUUGUAAUUGUGUGUGACCCUAACGCUGAUUCAUCCGUUGUUUCAAGUAAAGUCUCUUUUUAACAAGCAUGGUUGUAGCAUCCGCUACAUGUAGCUUCACAAGGGAUCCAAGCCCAUGAGAAGCUUUGGAGGGCUAUUUUCUUUCUAUAAAAGGGGUGACUCACCAGGUUGCUGACGAAAGCCAGUUGUUGAGAGAAUUUAUAGCUUCCUUGCAAUCACAUUCCAAACGAAGAGAUGAAAGGUGGAGUUUAUCAGCUAAUGAGCUUCCAUGCAGUCACAUUCCAAUCAAAUCCCUAAUCAAAUGUCCUCCUUACACUUGAUAGUCAAUUCCAUACCCAAGAACUUGGUAACCGAGUAAGCAUUUCAGAUGUAAACAAGUCAAUUCAACAGUAAAGUAACUUCAAACUAUUAAGGUAUUUUUUUAGUCAGAAGGGAUGUUGAAUUUUUUGCAGAUGAUAUGGCACAACAUCAAGUUCCACUUUGUCAAAAGAAAAGAAACUCACACAGUCUCCCAAAACAUGACAAAACUUUAAAGCAGUGCUCCCAAAUUGUCUCUCAAGGGCUUUAAGGUCUGGUUUGGAAGGUGGAUGGCCCCUAUAGAAGAAAAGGCAAGUCAAAAUUAAAAAAUAUUAUUAGGUGAGUAUGAGAUACUCAGAGCACUGUACAAACAAUUAAAGUGACAACCUGAUUACUCAGACUACACAGACCAGGAACGUGCUAUGAGAAUGAGGAAUUAAUAUCUAAUAGAAAAAAAAAAAAAUUUAGCAUCUAAUUAUAAAUAUGGUUAAACUAUAAGGGUUCGAAAAAUGUAGGUACCUAGUAAAACAGAGAACAAAACUUGGAUCACCCGGAGAUGACUUCUUGAACUUGCUGUUUGGGAGAUAUAUAUCAAAAACCGGCCUCACUUCAUUAAUCUGUAUCCCAUUGAAUAAUCCAUGGACAGACUUAAUCUCUUCAGUUUCAGGACAAACUUGAGAAGAAACAGAUUCAUAGUUAGUCUUGACACCUUUCCAAGACCAGGGGAUACCAUGUCUUGCAACAAUGUAACCAAGGGAUUUGAGUUGCCUAUAAGCUCUAAAUUCAUCAAAGAAGAUCAUCUUUCCAUCUAAAACCUUUCUAUAUAUGUCUUCCAAGGAAAUACUAGUAUCACUACCAUCCAACAGAAGCAAAGCGCCUAUUUCAACCAAAUACCUAUAAAAGGAUUGUAACAAUUUACUAAUAGUUAAGUAUUAUGCCAUGCAAGGAAUGGUCACUGAAGCUGAUGAGUAAAAUUAGAACUUUCAUGUGCACAAAUUUCGCUCAGAGAGGAAGUCAAUUAUAGCUCUUAUUAAAAUUUCAGUGACUUCAUAACGAUAACUACAACGAAAAGGAAAGAUUUCAUGAGACAACUAAAAGGCCAUCUACAGCAUGAAAGCUUGAAAGGAAAAACUUUAAGCUAUUGUAAAAAAAUUUAACCACUCAGUAAAACAAUAAAAUCAGUGGUAUCAAGAGUGAACAAGCCCAGUUCUUUCCAGUCAAAUCUAUCCCUAUUUUUCAUGAAGUAUAAAGUUGUUGUAAUUUGCCAGAGAAUCUCACACAGAAAAUGAAAAAAAAGAACAAACGAAAAAACGGACAAGAAGGAUGUAAUAAAGUCAAGAAUCACAACACAACGAAGUUAUCUUUUCACUUACAAAACUUCUUCCAUGGAAAUAUAGAGCUUGGCAUUGCAAGAAAUUCCCGUGGUCCUCCAUAUUCUACCCUUUGGAAAUACGACUGCCAUGCCCAUCUCAUCAUCCCAGCGGGCCGUGGAUACACUAGACCUCCUACAAAAUAGCCCACAAAGCUCACUAUGCGAGCAUAUAUAAAACUUUCCUUUAACUUUUUUGUUUUUCACUAAGAUAGUCUGUUUAAGAAUACCAAUAGUUAAAGAUCAUGAUCGAUCUUAAAGUACUAGUAUAAGUACCACCCAACCUGGGUUGAAUCUUGGAUGUGGGCUGAGAAGCAUAGUGGUUUUCUUCUUCUUCAUCAAGGUCAUUGGUAUAUUCUUCAUCCAAACAUUCUUCACACAUAGUCAUUAACUUUUGAGCUCCCUGUGAAGAUCAAGAGCAAAAAUAUAAAGUACAAAAUUAAACAACACACGGCAGAAGUGCAGAAGAAGAUUGGACUUGUUCUAUCAAAAAUAGCCACAUACAAGCUUGAACAAUAAGAAGAAACAUAAAUCCGAUGAAAUCGGUAAUCCUAUUUUCCUAUCUGGGAAAACAGGUGAAGAAACCGUUGUCCAAUAAUUGGAGAUGCAGAUGAGAAUCAGCUGGUGACAGCUGAUAGAUUUGAUAGAAUACAGUUUAACAGCACCAUGAGACUACAGAAUGUUUGGCCCAUAUGGGCAUACCAGGUAUAUUAACAGUAUUUAGAAAUCCAGAGGUUAAGCAUACUCUAGCAAAUUUACAUAUGGCAGAGAUUGGUUUCAUAUUUGCAUGUUAGAAAGACAUAACAAAACCAAAGACAAUUGAAUUAAUCUGAUUGCUGAUGGUCAGGCACACAUGUAAGACAACACACAAACUUACAGACCUAUGUAUUCACUUUAGUACUUCUCCAUAGGGAACUCUUGAGUCUCCCCACUAGAAGCAUAAUUCUUAAAAUUCUCCAAUAUCAAUCCAUUAAGUUACAAUCAGGUCCCUCUCUAAUGGUACAAAUUAGAGUUGCAAAAGCAUACCUUCUCAUUGCUUCCAUUGUGAGCCAAAUUUCUGAGGGAGAGCUCAUCAUCAGUGAAAACAUUUUCAGAAUCAUCUAUGUCAAGAGGCUCCGAGCCUGAAGAAAAUGCAGAAUCAACAAAUUUUUCUAACAAAAAUAAUGGCUACAAUAUCAACAUUGUUGAAAAAUGAAAAAUUGAGUGCCAGAGGAGAAAUUUAAGGUGAGUGGAAUUGAAGUACCAGUAGAGUGAGUGAAACAAGAGACAAUAUCGGAACCGAGUGGCUCCAAGUUUGUUCCAGUUUCACUUUCAAGUACUUUGUCAUCAUCACGGCAUUGUUCUGGCUUCCAUCUUGUGAUUGUACGCUCUUCAACAGCAAAUGUCUCCACACAUGAUGGAGAGUCUACACUAUGACCGUUACUGCUGAUAUAAAGAACCAACAAUGUCUUGGCAACGCCUCCACAAAGCCGAGUAGUACGAUGAAUAUCUAACCACUCCCUCAGUCGCAUAUUUCCAUCACUAUCUUCCUCUGACAACACCAUCACCGCAUAUUCAGAAUGAACUAGAGCUGGAUGAUGGCAGUAGGCAACAAAGUCCACACCAUAUUUAACUCCAGACCUAACAACCCAAUUUUUCAUUCUAAGGUGAGAAUAAGCCUUGUACAAAUAGGGGAACAAUGCUCUUCUAGAUUCCAAGCACUGCCAUAGCUGGCUAUCAUUCUUUGAGCACUUAUCUUCGACAAUCUCGAGGCAUUUUAGAGAAUGGCAUAGGUAAAAGGCCUCUUCCAUACACAACUGAAACCAGUGCUUAUUCUCCAUCAUUCUAUCACCAAAGCAGGCAGAUUCAAGAAGAUUAACUUGCUCUGGUUUCACUUCAAAAAGUACACUGCUGCCACAUAAAAACCCUCGAGAAUUCGAUUCAAUUAGAGAAGAUUGAAGCUGCAAUACUAUAUUUGACAUGGGUUGUGCAAGAGCUUUGGAUUUAGACAGAGACUUAGCUCGAGAGCUGUUUCCUUUCCAUCUAGGCCCCAUUAGACUACAACAUCAUCAUACAACUAAAGCAUUUGAGACCCAUGUUGUUGAAUUUUGAAUAAAAGAGAAGUUAACAAAAACAAACAGCUAUUAACUGAAAUAACCAACAAAUCCCCAACCCAAUUCAUAUUGAAAUCAAGAACAGAAUGAGCAACCGAAUAAAGCGAACAUUAUAGGUGAAUGGUGCUACACAAUACACCCAAUAGACCAACCAACAUACCUUGUUUGUUUAAAGACGGCGGAGGUCAGGAGGUGGAAGGAACGACGGCGGCGGUGGAAAGAAGGACGACGGAGAGGGCGACGGCGGCUCAGUGGGAGUGAGUGCUUUUGUAUUUUGGUCUUUAUACACGGAGUGGAUCCCAGUUCAGCCCGUGCGCCAGCAGAUAACCCAUCAACGCUUUACAGACCGAGAAACUAAUUCUGGUCGAGGGAUCUUGUCAUUUUUAUUAAAAUCUUUAAACCCACCUCUUUGUUUUUUUCUGAAAAUUUAAACCCAUCUAAUCAUUCUUACAAAGACAUUGAGAUUUGAAUGUCUGGCAUCAAUUAGGCUAUUGAAUCAACAAGGUACAGUUCACCGACAAUUAUCGCUUAGAUAUAUCGUGAAAAAUCUAAUACAAGUUAUAGAUGUCCUGGUGCAAUUGCAUUGAAAAUAAUAGGCAAUUCUAAAAUUAUUGAAAUUAACCUAAUUCAGUGACAUUAGAAAGGGAAAUGCUCUAAUGUCUAAAUAUUUGAAAACUAAAACUCAUUCCAUUUAAAUUUUUAUCUCUUAGCUCAUUCCAAUGACUCUUACCAAAAGAACGAUAUUACCCAUCAUUAAAUUACACCUAACCAGAAGCUAACCGCCAUGUCCUUCGUAACAACCUCUCUCUCUCUCUCUCUCUCUCUCNCUCUCUCACUCUCUCUCUCUCUCUCUCUCGUACUCUCGUACUUCUCUCUACUACUCUCUCGUACUCUCUCGUCUACUACUACGUAACUACGUACUACGUACUACUACUACGUACCGUACCUACUCCGUCGUACGUUACGUUACCGUUACCGUUAACCGUUACCGUUAAAAACCCGUUACCGUUACCGUUUACCUACCGUUUACCCGUACCGUUACCUUUACCUACCUUUACUACUUAAACGUCUCUCUCUCUCUCUCUCUCUCUCUCUCUCUCUCUCUCUCUCUCUCUCUCUCUCUCUCUGAUCCUUCGUCGGUGACCUCAUCCUCGCCUCCACCAUCUCCGGCAACCUCUUUCAUCCUCGCCUCUCUCAAAGAAGCACGACGAAGAGUCCUCGCCUCCACCAUCUCUCUCUAUCUCUCUCUCUAACUCUCACUUACAGAUCCGUCGCCGGCGAUCUCAUUCGCGCCUCCACCAUCUCUGGUGACCUCAUCCUCGCCUCCGCUUAUUGCCCCGGCCUCCUCCUCGCCUGUCACUACAACACUACGAGUCCGAAGAGCAGCGUCAAAUCCAGAUCUAGUCGUUCUCCAACGUCGUCUGCACGUCGUUGCUUGGAAACGUCGAUGCGAGCCGAGCUCACCAAGCUCCAUCAUGCACCACUACGGUCUCCGAUUAGUGGUGGUCGUCCUAGCUUGACUGCACAUCGUCUUUGCCUCUACCUUUGGUUUCGGACUCCUACGUCAACGCCAUCAAGAGUUGGUGUUGUGUAAUGGAGAUUGUUUUCUCAAGGGUUAUAAAGUUCUACUGGGGAUAAUAAUGUUCUACUAGGGGUGAUAAAUUUAUUACUGGUGGUAAUAAAUUUAUAACUAGUCCUUUUUUCUAUUUUUUCUUAGGGUUAUUAUUCUUCUAUCGUCUUCGUUUUUUUGUGUUUUAACUAAUUACUAGGGUUCAGUAACUAAUUACUUAGGACUAGUAAUUGAUUACUGAGGGUCAUUAAUUGAUUACUGGGGGUCAGUAACUCAAUUAUUGAGAAAAUCCGGCGACCGGUGACCAAAUUCUGAUGAUUAACUCAAUUAUUGGGGCUCAAUAACUGAUUACUAUGUAUCAGUAAUUAGCCAGUAACUAGGGUUACUGGGGGUCAGUAACUGGUUACUGGGGGUCAUUAACUGGUCAGUAACUGGUUAUUGGGGGUCAGUAACUAAUUACGGGGGAAAUUCCGGUGACCAGAGUCCAGCUGUUGGGGAAAUUCCGGUGGCCGGAGUCCGGAGGUCAGGAAAAUUUCGGUGACCGGAGUCCAGCGGCCGGUGACCGAAGUCUAGUGAGAUUCCGGCCAAGUAUUCUCUCUUCCAUUUUCUCUCUCUAUGCAUGUUUAAGGGGUGAGGGCAAAAUAGUCUUAAAAUAAUAUGAUUUGUUAAGACUUUAAUAAAAAUUUGUGCAUUUAGGCAUAAAAAAUGUUACCUUAUAUUGGAAUGGCUAAUGAAAAAGAUUGUCAUUGAAAUGGGGAAUAAGGAGUUUAAAUUAGUACUAAAUAAGCAUUUUUCCUUAGAAAUAACCUUCCUGGGUUUGCUAGCUGGUUAUCGAGAUCGUGUGUACCUAGUUUGGUAAUGUCACAUUUUUUUUAUCAAUUAAGUCAUCAAAUAUCAUUAAAAGAGGAAGUGUUACAACAAGUAGGGUUACAAUAAGGACAUGAAUCAUAAAGGGCUACUUAUAAAACAAGUCAGAUCGUUUGAUUUAAACCUAGCAACCUACAUACCAAAAAAAAAGCGGAGAUCGAAAAAUCUACAAGCACACGAUGAGACAAUGAUGGCUAUUAAACCGGUUGUGGGCAUGGUUGAACCAAAUGCAUACCAAUAUAGUCAUGGCUCUCAGACUCGAGAAGGAGAAACAUGCGUAAAUUUAGCCAUCUCUCCUUUUAUUACAAGGCCUUCCACUUUUGCUUUUCUAUGCCGGUGAAUACGUGAUAAGGCAACUGGCAACCCUUGCGAGCCGGACCUUAACCUGUCAUAAGUAUUGUUGUUUUGGCUUGUUUGUUAGAUAAAGUUCAACUUAGCUUCAUCUAAGGUAGGCCUUUUGGUAAGAUUGUCCCUUCAUCCAACUUAGCUUCAUCCAAAGUUACCAAAGCACAAAAACCAUGAUCUUCUCAGAAUGAAUUUUAUACAAAGAGUGCAUAACCACAUAGGUAGAUCGCUCCUACUGGUUCCAUGACUUCCAUCGAUAUAGACUUUAGAUUCCAAAAUAUUCAUUUAUCAGAUGUGUGCCAAGUUCUGCUAUAUGAAUAUAUGUAUCCUCAAAACUGAACUAGCACUGUAUUCAGUAUUCUCAAUUUGUGAAUUCAACUUUGCAGUGAUUGCAAAAAGAUGAUGAAGAGCUCCAAAAUCACCAAUGAAGUUUGAGUGAAAACGUACAAAACCAGUCUGUUUGUUUUCCUGCUGACAGCAAUCCCAGGUACAGCUAGCUAGCUGUUCGCUGAUGCAUGAAAAUAAUUUGUCUAACUGUGACAUAAAUAAUCAGUAUUAUAUAGCUUGUGAGCAACUUGUAUAUCAUGAUUAUCAAUCUGAAUUCGAUCUGAAAUGUAAAUGCAACAGAUAUUCAUGCUAACAUAACAUUUACCAACUUCUGGAAGAUCCAAGGAUAUCAAACUCCUCUCAGCAGGCAUUUCUGUCAUAGUCAAAUUUAUACUAGCUUUCUGUCAAUACACUCCAUACAAACAAACAAAGAAAUUGAUGAAACGGAACCACUUGUAGCUCUUCACUGAUAACGGAUGAUGUGUCCCUGUCAGAUAAAUAUUUUUUUUUAUUUUUUGAAAGAAGAAACUUUCUCAUAAUUUCUUAAUUACUCACAAUUAUCGAUCCCAUUCAAGGGUCUUAUUAGCUUUGCAAACCUUUUGCCGAAGUCUAGCUAGCUAGCUAGACAGGUAGUGGUUUACUCUUAUGGUACUUCUUCCAUAGUCUUGAACCAGCCAAACACAUGAGAUAGAGGGCAGGUAAGGCGCAUAAUCUGAUAGGACUAUUAGCAUUGUAAAAGAAGUAAAUAUACUGAACUGUGGAGAAAACGCAUUGAUAGAUGCUACUGACUAAUCCGUAUGUGUCUAAGUGACUUUCGAAGAAAGUGUCCGAAAGAUGUGGAUAAGAUAUACAGUGUAGUUUUUUCCAGCUCUUCAGUACUAGGCUUUUCCUUUGAAUCAGCUCCCAAAUGCAAGUGAAUACAGCUGCAGCAGCAAGCAGCAUUGCAAUUAAUGCAUAGUGCGGUUUGCUUGGCGAAGAAGCUUGAUCGAAACCAGCAGAAAGAAUCACGAGGAUGAGGGUAAAGAGUAAGAAGUUCCAUUCUGCUGAUGAAGUAGCCUACAUAUAAUGUAGAUAGAAACUUUUUCAGUUAAAAAUUGAAGAGAUAUAAUAUGGAAUUGAAACUGUUCUUUGACUAUGGUUAUGAGAUUCGAGCAUUACAUCCACUGUGGCCUUUUGCUCCUCAUGGUUAACGGUGAUGAUCUUGUCCUUGACACUGGUAUUCCUGCUGACCUCGUCUACUGGUUGCUCAAUAAUCUUCUCCUCAACACUGGUAUUGGUGCUGACCUCGUCUACAGAUUGCUCAAUAAUAUUCUCCUGCAGUAUAUAUAGAUUAUAUAUACAUGUAAUAUAUAAGCAUAACAUAGUAACUUCAAGUAACAUCAUCUGUAAAGCAAUUCUGUUUUGUUUUAUAACAAUAAUCUUUUUUCUUAUCGAUGGAAGAAAGCAAACACAAACGAAAACCCCUACAACAAUUGAAACCAAAGCUAUCAAAGUAAAACAAAACAGAAUUUCAUUUUUAUGCUCAAGAAUUAGAAUGUACCGUUUCCUUCCUGAGGAUACAUCGUUUUAAAGAUUGCACGAUAUCAUUGUAAGCGCUGUUUGAUCCCUACCAUCAAGAAAGAAAGUACUUAGUUUUUGAAUCAUUUCAAGAUGCAUAUAGAACCGAGUUUAUUUAUAUCAUUUCAUGCUUACUUAUGAGAUUCAGUAUGCCAUCCAGUUAAACUUGCCACGGAUGUCAAAGAAGCCCUCCAACGUUUAACCUUGUCCGAGUCUUGUUCUUGUUCAUGCUUGGCGAAGCUUGCUCCAAUAGUUCCUUUUUGUUUUCGGACAUCUGAGGGGUCGACAAGGUGAAAGCCUGGGAAGAUGAGACUACUUGAAUCCCUGUUUGCUUCAAGAAUCUGCACAAGUUGUUCCAAGAGCCGAGGGGAGGAAGUCCGGCGAGAUAAUAACUAGGGCGACCUUCGAGUCUGAUUCCGACCUCCAGGGAAGCUGUGCUUUCUGCUCCCUCAACCUCUUGGCUGUCUCUGAGAGUGAGAAUUCCUUCAUCCUUCAAAGCCUUGUGUAGAAGAUAUGAAAAGUUGCCUGCGUCCUGGCUUGAGCUGCUCAAGAAGACGUCGUACUUCCAUGGAGCUGAGGCGAUGAGUGAGGCCAUCUGUUACACACUGAGGAGAUGAGCCGUCGAUUCGAAGGCACCUGCUUGGUUUUGACUUUUGAAUGAGAGGAAACUGUGCUAAAGGCUAAAAGAAAAAAACGCAAGGCUGGGAAGUUUCUCUUUUGACCAACGACCAAAGUCUUUCUUGAGUUUCCACAACGCUUCAUAUUUCAUUGUCCAUAACGUACUGUACGCCACAAGAACAACUGCAUGCUUCUUUCUUUCUGGUCAGGGCAGUCCAAUACUUCUUACAUUCCAGAAAAACACGCAGACGAUUCUUCACAAAAUAAGAUAAUUUAAGGAGACCAAACAAAAAAUGUUAGUCCUCGAUCAACGACCAACUGCUUUUUUACACUAGAAUAUUAGGGGAUCAGAUCGAUAGAUACAUUUUGUUUCCGGGACAAAAUUUCCAAACUAUGACUUCUCGGACUCGAUCGGUCCAUGCCACCAUAACAAAUUCAGAGCGAUAAUGAAGUGCUAGCUUCUUUUAGGAUAUCUAUUUAGUAUCAUUCCAUAUUCCUUAUAUUUGAACCUUUCUUAUGCUUGACCAAACACCAGGUCAAUUCCACAUAAUCUGCUUCAGGCCUUCAGCUUCAUCUUUCUUAAAGGCUUUCUGAGCAAAGAGUCGUUAUGCUUCUUUAAAUCCAUGUGCCACCGCCAUAUGCAGCACAACUCUUCCAUGACGAAUUAGCAACUCUUCAUUUCUAGUUGUAACAAUGAUUCUGACCAGCCAUUGCUCCUUUCCGCUAAUGUUAAUAUAUAGUUGGUCUAGCUAGCUCAUUGGCAUCAUCAAGGAUAAGAACCUUUUUAUUUUGGAAACAAUGCUCAAUCAUACUGGCUCCACCAGAACCGUACAUUGGAUCUUCUACGAAGUUCUCCUUCAAGAUUUAAAAAAAGAAGCAGGUUUGAAGAUGAACCAGACCGUGUUUUUCAGUAAUAGAAAUAUACCAUGUUUCAAUCUUAUAAUAGAAACGAACUUGUGAUUAUUUUCAGUAUAUACUCCAGCCAAAACUUGCUUUAUGAAAAGGUUGCAAAAGAAAACAAACUAUAAACCCCGAAUAAUACUUUCCAUGGAUCCAACUGCGAAUUCGUGGCAAUUUAUUGUAAGGUAAUAGCUAUUUGUAGUGUUGUACAUCUAGCAUAAUCGUAGAAGAAAAUCAUGUAUAUAAUAAAUUUGAUCAUUUAGCUAUGAAACUGAAAUUCUUAACAGAUCGAUGAUAUACAAUAGCUAUAUGCCCAUAUCUACUCAUCAGUUGUUCACAAAUGAACCAUCACUAAGGUUCGUUUACUCACAAUUAUUCUUUGUACUGGUAUCUAGCUAGAUUUCUGAUCAAUAAUGAUUAUGAUUGCUGUGUAGUCUUGAACCAGCCAAACACAAAAGAAAGAUUGCUGGUAAAAAUGAUAGUUUUAUAGGACUAUCAGCAUGCCAAGAGAAGUAAAUGUAUUGAGUAAUAGAGCAUAUGCACUGAGCAGCGCCUCCAAAUAAUCCGUAAAUGUAAGGGAGAGUACCAAAAGGCACGCUAUCGUGGGGAUGUGGAUAAUAAUACCACCAGAGUUUUCCGAACUUCUUCAGUACUACUUUAUUCUUUAUGCCCUUGUAAAUGAGCUCCAAAAUGCAAGUGAACAAGGCUGCAAUAGAAAACAGCAUACCAAAUAGUGCAUACUGUGGCUUACUUGAGGAGGAGGCCUGAUCAAAACCGGUUGACAAAAUCUCUAGGCCAAGGUUAGUGAUCAAAAAGUUCCACUCUGCUGAAGUAUCCUACAAUAGUAUACAGUAAUUAAGGAGAUUAUUAAACAAAAUAUGCAAUAAAAGUGUUGGCCAGUUAACUAUAAUUCUGAGUUUUUACCACCAAAUCUGUAGUGUGCAUUGGAUGGUUACGGUUGCCCUCGUUAACAUUAAUGCUAGUGUAUGCAACCUGCAUAUAUUGAAUUGUAGUUGAGAAAUACAUACAACUUGCAAACAGGGGAGUGUAUCCUGAGCUAAUUUCAUAUGCAAGUAUCUUUGAAGGUAAAAGGUUGUUGGCAAUCCUUAUAUAGAACAAAACACAACCUAUGAAGCCUAAAGCAAUUGGGAGAUUGGUCUUGCACACCUGAAGAACAAGUUGAAGAAGUAGAAGAACCAAUAUGAUCUCAUGGAACUCAGGUAAAAUCAUGCAUGUGCAUUUCAUGGUUUUUCACAGAGGAUAGCAGUAUCACUUGCCAUCCUAAAAAUCUGGGUUUCCAGCUUUUUGAUCUUUUGUUCUGUUGUCUUAUGUUUAAGUUUCUUUACCCUUGUGGCAUUAAUUUUAUGUCUAGGGGAGAUCCUAAUUUGAAUUUCAAAUUGACAACUAGAAUAUAUAAAGAUCUUACCAUUGUGGUCAAUUUAGUUUUGGGUUUGAUGCCUUUGUUUCAACCCGUGACUUAUGAUGUAAAAGCUCUAAGGCUACAGCUGUGUCUGUGAUACACAAACCAAUAUAACAGCUGUCUUUGUAUGUUCUCUCCCUUUCAGAGUUUGGCCAAGGACAAAAGUCCAAAACUCCUUCCUUGCUUUGGCCCUCGUGCUUGCCCUCUUGUGGCACCUCUUUGGCUUGUGUCUCUCUCUUGUUAGAGCACUCUAUCAGCCUAUAUAUACUGAGCAAGGCUGCCUUUGCUCAGUGGUUGUCAUAAUGUAGUUUUUACAUUUGCAUUGUUAGGUUUUGGUUUUCUUUUGCAUUGUUCAUUAGUCUCUAAGUCUUCCUUUUGUGAUUAUAAACCUUAGAGCUGAACAAAACCUCUUCUCAUAAACUCAUUGCAUUCUGCAUACCAUGAGAUCAGUUGGUAGUGCAGCAACCCAGGAAGUGUUCAUGAAAGAAGCAGCUGAGGAUAGCUGAGUUCUGAUGUAUCCUGCUGAGGUAGUUGGGUUCAUGAAAGAAUCAGUUUAGGAUAGCUGAGUUUCUGAGAGUGAAACUUCUUAGAAGUCUUCAAGAAGAAUCAGUUAAGUGAUAGCUGAGUUCUUAGUUGAAACUUCUUAUACCUUCAUGUGUAGCCACUUAGAGACAAGAGAGCUAGAUCUAGACUAGUUUGGGACUAGGUAGGAUAGCAAGUCGUUGCUGUAUCCUAUACUGUAAUCUUGUAAGGAGUGAGGUACUCAGAAACAAGAAAGUAUAGAUCCAGACUAGUGGGUAGUUUAGGCAGGAUAGCAAGUCAUUCAUGUAUCCCUAGACUAUAAUCUUGUAAGAAGUGAGUUUUACAUAGUGGAAAGGUUUGUCCCUCAAGAGUUAAGGGCACGCAGUUUUUCUCCCUGGUUGCAGGGUUUCUGCGAGUAAAAAACAUCUUGGUGUUCAUUGUUAUUUUACUGCAACUUUUAUUUAUUGUCAUUGUGUAUUUGUUAUUCAGGAUAGCUAUAACCCUUGCUAUCCCUGAGAACGAAUUUAUACGAAAAAAAGUUGUUAAGGGCCUAUUCACCCCCCCUCUAGGACCUUUAAACUUGUAAAAAGUGUGAUGGCAUUAUCUGCAUCAAGUUAAAGACAGUUCUAUGUCAUUUUAGUCUAAAGUAAAAUCUUACCAAGUUGUGUGUGGAUGUCGGAUGCACUCUUUCGGUUGGACUUGGUAUAGGAUGUAUUUUGUUCCAGACUGCUUCAGUAAUUUCUUCUAGAACUUGUACUUCAUUCCUAACAUCAAGAAAAGGAGAGAAUGGAUACUCAGAUCAUUCUCUUAAACAACUAAUUACCCUCAAAAGC
Molecule: long non-coding RNA, 19252 nt
Filed under: Fragaria vesca (wild strawberry)
Lineage: Eukaryota; Viridiplantae; Streptophyta; Magnoliopsida; Rosales; Rosaceae
Description: long non-coding RNA (FVES_LNC000717)
Source: RNAcentral